Molecule: long non-coding RNA, 424 nt
Organism: Mytilus californianus (California mussel)
Lineage: Eukaryota; Metazoa; Mollusca; Bivalvia; Mytilida; Mytilidae
Exons: 3
Source: RefSeq, a predicted model, not a curated record
CAAUCUUCAAAUUGUCCAGUGGGCACUGGUUGCUGGUGCAAUUGUCAUCAUUGCAGCCACCACAACUCUACUAAUAAACAAGAACAGGAAACGAAAUCACCAGAAGUCAAACGCUAUUAUAUACUAUGCCGCGCCAUUUGAAGAGAAUGAGCCGAAUAUCUACAAUGAAAUCCUACCAAUCAAUGAAGAGCUAAUAAGUCAUCCUCAACAUCAAUAUGCCGAGGCAGCCAUUUCUAUAGAAGACACAAAAACAAAUUCCUUUGACGAUUCUUCAAACGAUUCCCAACAUUAUAUGCAUGUGGAUUGAUUUCCAUCCUUCCACGAACUCUAAAAGAAACAAAAUAGCAAGAGUUUUUAUUUUUGCAUGAUACUUUAUAUGGAUUAAAGCAUUAUCAUUUCUUGCCAAUCAUGCGGAAAACUGUGU